GCUGGUAGCAUAGUGGUUAGUGCUGUUGCCUUUGGGCUCAGUGGUUGUAGGUUUAAUUCCUACCUUGAGCA
Molecule: transfer RNA, 71 nt
Filed under: Scleropages formosus (Asian bonytongue)
Lineage: Eukaryota; Metazoa; Chordata; Actinopteri; Osteoglossiformes; Osteoglossidae
Description: tRNA-Gln
Rfam family: tRNA
About the family: Transfer RNA (tRNA) molecules are approximately 80 nucleotides in length. Their secondary structure includes four short double-helical elements and three loops (D, anti-codon, and T loops). Further hydrogen bonds mediate the characteristic L-shaped molecular structure. tRNAs have two regions of fundamental functional importance: the anti-codon, which is responsible for specific mRNA codon recognition, and the 3' end, to which the tRNAs corresponding amino acid is attached (by aminoacyl-tRNA synthetases). tRNAs cope with the degeneracy of the genetic code in two manners: having more than one tRNA (with a specific anti-codon) for a particular amino acid; and 'wobble' base-pairing, i.e. permitting non-standard base-pairing at the 3rd anti-codon position.
Source: RNAcentral